AUAUUAGGUAAUGCUCGUAAGAGUGAACUAGCUAACUGAAAUCAUAGAAUUUCUUUAAAUUCAUGAUGUCGUAAGGGAAAAUAAUGAUAAUACCUUACUAUGAGUGUCGUCCAAAACUGGUGCCAGAAGACUCGGUAAGACCAGAGACGCAAACGUUAAUCAUCAUAAACAGGCGUAAAGGGUUUGUAGGCAGCUUUUAUAGGGUUAUAUUAUUUUAAAAAAUAGUGUAAUCUUCAUUGAAAGCUAGAAUCAAAAAGAGGUUAUAGUGUAUAACGCCUAGAGGAGGGCUGAUAUCCAUAGAUCCUAGGCAGAAUACUUAGGGCGAAGGCCACUCUCCACUAAUGAUUGACGCUGAGAAACGAAGGUUAGGGUAGGAAAUAGGAUUAGAUACCCCGGUACUCCUUUCUGUAAACGAUGAAUGGUAGUCAUUAGUUAAAUUAAAUAACUAGAGGCGAAGUUAACACAAUAACCAUUCCGCCUUGUGAGUACUACUGCAAAGUAGAAAACAAAAAAAUUAGUCGGUCUCGAAGCAAACGGAGUGAAGCAUGUUAUUUAAU
This 557-nucleotide ribosomal RNA is filed under the name Ganoderma fornicatum. RNAcentral's name for it is "SSU rRNA". It matches the Rfam family "Bacterial small subunit ribosomal RNA", at positions 361 to 950 of the family's 1533-position model. Lineage: Eukaryota; Fungi; Basidiomycota; Agaricomycetes; Polyporales; Polyporaceae. The record is from RNAcentral.